CAGCCGCCGCGGGAAUACGUAGGUGGCAAGCGUUGUCCGGAAUUAUUGGGCGUAAAGGGCUCGCAGGCGGUUUCUUAAGUCUGAUGUGAAAGCCCCCGGCUCAACCGGGGAGGGUCAUUGGAAACUGGGAAACUUGAGUGCAGAAGAGGAGGGUGGAAUUCCACGUGUAGCGGUGAAAUGCGUAGAGAUGUGGAGGAACACCAGUGGCGAAGGCGACUCUCUGGUCUGUAACUGACGCUGAGGAGCGAAAGCGUGGGGAGCGAACAGGAUUAGAUACCCGAGUAGUCCCUGUCUCUUAUAC
Molecule: ribosomal RNA, 301 nt
Filed under: uncultured bacterium
Lineage: Bacteria
Description: partial 16S ribosomal RNA
Rfam family: Bacterial small subunit ribosomal RNA
Source: RNAcentral